UGGGGAAUAUUGGACAAUGGGCGAAAGCCUGAUCCAGCCAUGCCGCGUGUGUGAAGAAGGUCUUCGGAUUGUAAAGCACUUUAAGUUGGGAGGAAGGGCAGUAAGCGAAUACCUUGCUGUUUUGACGUUACCGACAGAAUAAGCACCGGCUAACUCUGUGCCAGCAGCCGCGGUAAUACAGAGGGUGCAAGCGUUAAUCGGAAUUACUGGGCGUAAAGCGCGCGUAGGUGGUUCGUUAAGUUGAAUGUGAAAGCCCCGGGCUCAACCUGGGAACUGCAUCCAAAACAGGCGAGCUAGAGUAGGGCAGAGGGUGGUGGAAUUACCUGUGUAGCGGUGAAAUGCGUAGAUAUAGGAAGGAACACCAGUGGCGAAGGCGACCACCUGGGCUCAUACUGACACUGAGGUGCGAAAGCGUGGGGAGCAAACAGG
Molecule: ribosomal RNA, 429 nt
Filed under: Pseudomonadota bacterium
Lineage: Bacteria; Pseudomonadati; Pseudomonadota
Description: Proteobacteria bacterium partial 16S ribosomal RNA
Rfam family: Bacterial small subunit ribosomal RNA
Source: RNAcentral